UGUACAUAUAUUGAUUGUGUGCAUGUGGUCAGGGUUUUGAUUUCUAUUAAUUUUUGUUCCUUAAGAGAUAGUUGAACUUUGCCAUUUUUGGAGUUUAUGCAUUCAAAAGGGGUGCAUUGCAAUUCUGGAUAACUCCUCCUACAGUUUGAAUCAUUGGAAGUUUUCACUUUGCUGGCUGUGUGUACAUAUAUUGAAGGUGUGCAUGUGGUCAGGGUUUUGAUUUUUAUUAAUUUUUGCUCUUUUGGGAGAUAGUUUAACUUUGUCAUUUUUUACUUGUAUAAGAGGUCCUCCUACAGUGAGCCAUAAACCUUUAUGCACCAUGCUCAACUUUGUGUAUUUUAAAAAGAAACUUUGCUUCUGCAGGGCAUCAUUCGUCUCUCCCAAAC
RNAcentral lists this long non-coding RNA (386 nucleotides) under Mytilus galloprovincialis (Mediterranean mussel). The record is from RNAcentral. Lineage: Eukaryota; Metazoa; Mollusca; Bivalvia; Mytilida; Mytilidae.